Molecule: ribosomal RNA, 621 nt
Filed under: uncultured bacterium
Lineage: Bacteria
Description: bacterial SSU rRNA
Rfam family: Bacterial small subunit ribosomal RNA
Source: RNAcentral
CCUACGGGAGGCAGCAGUGGGGAAUUUUGGACAAUGGGCGAAAGCCUGAUCCAGCAAUGCCGCGUGAGUGAAGAAGGCCUUCGGGUUGUAAAGCUCUUUUGUCAGGGAAGAAACGGUGAGAGCUAAUAUCUCUUGCUAAUGACGGUACCUGAAGAAUAAGCACCGGCUAACUACGUGCCAGCAGCCGCGGUAAUACGUAGGGUGCAAGCGUUAAUCGGAAUUACUGGGCGUAAAGCGUGCGCAGGCGGUUUUGUAAGUCUGAUGUGAAAUCCCCGGGCUCAACCUGGGAAUUGCAUUGGAGACUGCAAGGCUAGAAUCUGGCAGAGGGGGGUAGAAUUCCACGUGUAGCAGUGAAAUGCGUAGAUAUGUGGAGGAACACCGAUGGCGAAGGCAGCCCCCUGGGUCAAGAUUGACGCUCAUGCACGAAAGCGUGGGGAGCAAACAGGAUUAGAUACCCUGGUAGUCCACGCCCUAAACGAUGUCUACUAGUUGUCGGGUCUUAAUUGACUUGGUAACGCAGCUAACGCGUGAAGUAGACCGCCUGGGGAGUCGGUCGCAAGAUUAAAACCGNGAAAGGAAUUGACGNGUGAGACGAGACGAGGACGACGACGAGGGGAGAGG